CCUACGGGUGGCAGCAGUGAGGAAUAUUGGUCAAUGGACGAGAGUCUGAACCAGCCAAGUAGCGUGAAGGAUGACUGCCCUAUGGGUUGUAAACUUCUUUUAUAAAGGAAUAAAACGAGGCACGUGUGCCUUUUUGCAUGUACUUUAUGAAUACGGAUCGGCUAACUCCGUGCCAGCAGCCGCGGUAAUACGGAGGAUCCGAGCGUUAUCCGGAUUUAUUGGGUUUAAAGGGAGCGUAGAUGGGUUGUUAAGUCAGUUGUGAAAGUUUGCGGCUCAACCGUAAAAUUGCAAUUGAUACUGGCAGUCGUGAGUACAGUUGAGGUAGGCGGAAUUCGUGGUGUAGCGGUGAAAUGCUUAGAUAUCACGAAGAACCCCGAUUGCGAAGGCAGCUUACUAAACUGUGACUGACAUUGAUGCUCGAAAGUGUGGGUAUCAAACAGGAUUAGAUACCCCAGUAGUC
Molecule: ribosomal RNA, 460 nt
Filed under: uncultured bacterium
Lineage: Bacteria
Description: partial 16S ribosomal RNA
Rfam family: Bacterial small subunit ribosomal RNA
Source: RNAcentral